Molecule: ribosomal RNA, 300 nt
Filed under: fungal sp.
Lineage: Eukaryota; Fungi
Description: SSU rRNA
Rfam family: Eukaryotic small subunit ribosomal RNA
Source: RNAcentral
UUGGAGGGCAAGUCUGGUGCCAGCAGCCGCGGUAAUUCCAGCUCCAAUAGCGUAUAUUAAAGUUGUUGCAGUUAAAAAGCUCGUAGUUGAAACUUGGGUCUGGCUGGCAGGUCCGCCUCACCGCGUGUACUUGUCCGGCCGGGCCUUUCCUUCUGGAGAACCUCAUGCCCUUCACUGGGCGUGUUGGGGAACCAGGACUUUUACUUUGAAAAAAUUAGAGUGUUCAAAGCAGGCCUUUGCUCGAAUACGAUAGCAUGGAAUAAUAGAAUAGGACGUGCGGUCCUAUUUUGUUGGUUUCUA